CUACGGGCCGCUGCAGUGGGGAAUAUUGGACAAUGGGGGAAACCCUGAUCCAGCAAUGCCGCGUGUGUGAAGAAGGCCUGCGGGUUGUAAAGCACUUUCGGUUGGGAGGACUGCUUCUAGCACUAAUAUUGUUGGAAGUUGACGUUACCUUCAGAAGAAGCACCGGCUAACUCCGUGCCAGCAGGCCGCGGUAAUACGGAGGGUGCAAGCGUUAAUCGGAAUUACUGGGCGUAAAGCGCGCGUAGGCGGCUAGAUCAGUCGGGUGUGAAAGCCCCGGGCUUAACCUGGGAACUGCAUCCGAUACUGUCUAGCUUGAGUACAGGAGAGGAGAGUGGAAUUCCACAUGUAGCGGUGACAUGCGUAGAUAUGUGGAGGAACACCAAUGGCGAAGGCAGCUCUCUGGCCUGAUACUGACGCUGAGGUGCGAAAGCGUGGGGAGCAAACAGGAUUAGAUACCCGGGUAGUC
This 466-nucleotide ribosomal RNA is filed under the name uncultured bacterium. Its description in RNAcentral is "partial 16S ribosomal RNA". It matches the Rfam family "Bacterial small subunit ribosomal RNA", at positions 339 to 795 of the family's 1533-position model. The record is from RNAcentral.